AUUUUGUUAAAUGGAUUUUCCUAAUACCUGAGUAUAUUUAUAUACUAUCUUAAGAAUUACGGUUAGUCAAGUGACUAGCAUUGACUAACCUUAACUCUAUUGACUAUCUCUAUAAGAUAAGAACCUUGGAAAAAGAAAAAACAAAACGAACAGCAGAAAAGAAGAUAAGAUAAGAAUAAAUUCACAAAAAUACCGUGUCCUUAUUUUGACACAAAGUAGCUGACAAUCAGAACAAAGAAAAUAGCCAAAUAGCAAACCAAAAUAUAGUGCAAAAAUAAGGUAUAAUUCCAAAAUAAGGACAAAAAGAAAAUGACAAAGCACGAACAAGCCAUAUUUAGAUUUUACGAGAAUACUAUAGACGAAUGCCUUAAUGAAGAACCAACCAAAGAAGAUAGAAUUGCCAGAAGUGAAAAGAACGCAUAAAAUGAAGAAGUAUUUUCAUUAUUUUUCUGAUUCCUCUUAGAACCUUCUGAAUUUUUUUGAUUUGAACUCCUAGAAAAUUCUCAAUUUUUUUGAUUUGAGCUGCUAGAAAAUUAUGAAUGUUUUUGCUUUGAGCUCCUAGAAAAUUAUGAAUUGAAAUGAAAAUUGAAAUCAAAAGGGAAAUCAAAAUCGAAAUGAAAAAGAUUCUAAUUGUUCCUAUUAAUCUUAACCAGUCAGAAAGAAGGAGAAAAAAUAAUGCAAAAUUAAUAACAACAUAGAUACAGUUUGCAUACGAAUAUAAAAAAAUAGCUUAAUAAAGAACCAAAGAAUAUAGAAUCGCGAGAAUUUAAUAGGACUCAUAAAAUUCUGAAUUUUGUUUAAUUUUCUUCUGAUUCUUCCUAUUGCUCCUAUUGUUUUUAUUUUUGAUUCUUCGUAGCGUCGUGAUAAUGUUGUCCAUUCGAUCCUCCUAUUGUGAUCUAUUUUGAAUUAAUUGUAAAUGUGCAUGAACAUUAUGAAUAAUAUGAAACUAGAAAAAGUAUUCACAAUGUGUUUUUUUUUUAAUCCAUCAAAAAUGAGAUAGAAUAGCUUCAACCUUGUCAACCGAAAAUGAGAAAAUGAAAUCGGGGUAAACACCAAUACCUAUUAUGGGUAUAAGGAUAGAAAUAGAAAUAAAUAAUUCUCUGGGCCCAGAAUCAAAAAAUAAGAGUUUGGUGUAUUCAAAAACUUAUAUCCAUAGAACAUCUGCCGUACGAUUGAUAAUAAAUAAAUCGAAGUUAAUAUCAUUCCAAUUGCUGUUACAAAAGUAAUUAGUAUUUUCAUCAUGAAAAGAUUUUUUGACUACUAAUUAUUCCAAAAAAAACUAUCAAUUCUGCAACAAAACCGCUCAUGCCAGGCAAUGCAAGAGAAGCCAUUGAUAAGAUAGUAAAAAUUGUGAAUAUUUUUGGCAUUGGGAUAGCCAUUCCGCCCAUUUCGUCAAGAUAAAGAAGAUGCACUCUAUCAUAACUAGUUCCUGCCAAGAAAAAAAGUGCAGCGCCAAUAAAUCCAUGAGAUAUGAUUUGUAAAAUGGCCCCGUUGAGACCAGUAUCACUUAUGGAACCAAUUCCUAUAAUUAGAAAACCCAUAUGAGAUACCGAAGAAUAAGCUAUUCUUUUUUUAGAUUACGUUGACCAAAAGAUGUUGAAGCGGCAUAGAUUAUUUGAAUAGAACCUAAUAUCAUUAACCAGGGGCAAAAUAUGGAAUGAGCGUGGGAAACCAAUUCCAUAUUAAUUCGAACCAACCCAUAUGCUCCCAGUUUUAAUAAUAUGCCGGCUAAAAGCAUACAAGUGCUGUAAUGUGCCUCUCCGUGGGUAUCUGGUAACCAUGUAUGUAAGGGUAUAAUUGGCGAUUUGACAGCAAAGAAAAUCAGAAAUGCCGUAUAGAAUAUUAUUUCUAGUGCCACGGGAUACGAUCGAUUAAUUAAUGUUUCAAAAUUAAAUGUUGGUUUAUUAGAGCCAUAUAAACCGAUACCCAGAAUUCCCAUUAAUAAAAAAACAGAAGCUCCUGCAGUGUACAAAAUAAACUUAGUAGCAGAGUAGAAACGUUUCUUUCCCCCCAGAUGGAUAAAAGUAGAUAAACGGGGAUUAAUUCCAAUUCCCACAUGAUGAAAAAAAGUAAAAUGUCUCGAGAAGAAAAUGGUCCUAUUUGACCGCUAUACAUUGCUAACAUCAGGAAAUAGAAUAAUUGGUAUUCUCGAGUAACCGGCUGAGCCGCUAAAGUGGCUAAAGUAGUUAUAAAUCCUGUUAGUAAAAUGGGUCCUAUAGAGAGUCCAUCUAUUCCUAAUCUCCAGUCAAAAUCAAAAAAAUGGAUCCAUUUAUAAUUCUCCGUCAGUUGAAUUAGUGGAUCAUCCAAUUGGAAAUGAUAAGAAAAUGCAUAGGUUGUUAGAAGGAGAUCGAUUAAGCAUAUACAAAUGCUAUACCACCUAAUUACCUUAUUUCCCCUAUGAGGAAAUAAGAAAAUUAAGGAACCUGCGGCUAUUGGCAAAACAACAACGAUUGUUAACCAAGGAAAAUAAUUCGUGAUAAAAAUAAGAUACACUUGGGCCAGAAAAGCCCGUGCUCAAAAUAGAAAAAAAAGAUUUUCUAUUUUAUUUGGAGCACGAGUUUUUGCCAGUAAAAAACGUAUUCGUGUGGUGUUGUUUGAAACGAAUCAAUAAGCUAGACCCAUACUUCGAGUUGUUUCAUGCCAUAAAUAAACUCGAACACUUAAGAAAUCCGUCGGACAAGCGGACUCACACCUCUUACAACCAACACAGUCCUCUGUUCUUGGGGCAGAAGCUAUUUGCUUAGCUUUACAUCCACCCAAGGUAUCAUUUCUAAUACAUCUGUGGGACAGGCUCGGACACAUUGAGUACAUCCUAUACAUGUAUCAUAAAUCUUUACUGAAUGUGACAUUAUAUCUAUAGUAAUUGUUGAUGUUCAAAAAUGAAAAUUAUUGAUCUAGUAAACUCGUAAAUGAAUCGUAUAUUUAUAUACCAGAUGAAUCAAUGAUUUGUGAUAAUAUUGUUAACUGUUAAUAAAAAAAGGUGUCUAGAUAAAUUUAGAAGAGGGAAUAGAAGAGGACCAGGAUACUUUGAUUUCUUAUGAUUUAGGCAAUCCAAACAUGAUAUGAUCAUAAGUUGUGUCGAAUAAAUACUCAAAUGAAUUGAUUAAUAUUUCACUAUGUGAAAUUCGACUUUAUUAUUAAUUAUGAUAGGAUUAAUGCUAUUUAUUCAACAAAUUCGAUUGAUUGAUACGGGUUGAUUUUCUGUUACGAGCAAUUGAAGAAACAAUAGCCAGUCCGAUAGCCGCUUCAGCGGCUGCAAUAGCUAUAACAAAAAUUGAAAAAAUAUUUCCUUUUAAUUGGCGAUUAUCAAAAAAAUCAGAAAAAGUUACUAGAUUUAUAUUAACUGCAUUCAGUAUAAGUUCAAGACACAUAAGGGCUCUAACCAUAUUUCGGCUCGUGAUCAAUCCAUAGAUACCAAUAGAAAAUAAAUAGGCACUCAAAACAAGUACAUGUUCGAGCAUCAUUGACCAACUCCUUAUAAAUUUUGAUUCAUUAACAAAUAUAUCGGCAAUAAAAAAAAGAAUCUUGAUAAAACUCUUUCACUUCACAUAGAAUUCGACAGAAAUGAAUGUGAUAAAAUUGAAAAAAAAAAAGAAAAAUAAUAAAAAGACUGUUCUUAUUCAAAACGCCCUGUGAUCUUCAACCAAUUUUGUGCCUCAAUAUAAUUACCAGGGGUAAGGGCUAUAGCUUGUUUCCAAUAUUCAGCAGCUUGAUCAAACCAAGAUUCUGCAAUUUCAGAAUCUCCCUGUCGAAUGGCCUGUUCUCCGCGGUCGGAAUAGGUGAGUAAAAUCCUUCCCUUAGAACCGUACUUGAGAGUUUCCUGACUCAUACGGCUCAACAGUCAAUUCUUUUGAUCUUCCAUGGAGUUAAUAACAAGAAAAAGGUUAAUUACAUGAGUUUCAAACUUGCCUUUGGAUUAAUAAUUCAAUUUAAUCGUUUGUUUUUAGUUUUAUCUUUUCUCCUACCUUCUGAAGAAUAAAGCAUCGAUAUUAACACUAACGCUCUUAUUCUCAUUUUCUGAAAGGUAACUAUCUCGAUUUCAUAUAUCAUUUCAUAUAUAAUAUAUCUAUUUCUAUAGAAUCUUUGAGAAAGACUUUUCUUCAUAAGAAAAGACUUACUAUCUUUGGGAUCUGAUACUACACCGCUGCUCAAAACCUUAGGGGAUCAACUUUAUUACAUAAGUUGAUUUCUAAUCUAUCAUCAUAUAAGUAAGCAGUUCUUGUUGUAUCGGCCAAAAACCUUGUUAAUUGAUCUUUACGGUGCUUCCUCUAUCAAUUAGAUCUUUUAUCCAUAGAAAAAAGUAUCUAGGCAUAUAUAUUCUAUUUCUUCAUAUUUUUACUUCUAUGAAGUUUCUUUCAUACAGCUCAUAAAAAUCGUUGUUUCGAACGAUAUCUAUGUAACUUAAUUCUAAAUUUGGUUGAAUUAAUGAAGAACCAAAGAAUAUAGAAUCGCGAGAAUUUACUAGGACUCAUCAUCUUCUGAAUUUUGUUUAAUUUUCUUCUGAUUCUUCCUAUUGCUCCUAUUAUUUUUAUUUUGAUUCUCCGUAGCGUCGUGAUAAUGUAAUCCAUUGGAUAUUCUUCUCCUGAUCUCUUUUCGAAGAUCUCUUAUUAAAUUAAUGUGAAUUAACUUAAUUCUAAAUUUGGUUGAAUUAAUGAGUUGAAAAAGUCUUUGAAUUAAUUGUAUAAUAAUUUUGUUUAAUUUUCUUCUGAUUCUUCCUAUUGCUCCUAUUGUUUUUAUUUUGAUUCUUCGUAGCGUCGUGAUAAUGUUAUCCAUUCGAUCCUCCUAUUGUGAUCUAUUUUGAAUUAAUUGUAAAUGUGCAUGAACAUUAUGAAUAAUAUGAAACUAGAAAAAGUAUUCACAAUGUUUUUUUUUAAUCCAUCAAAAAUGAGAUGGAAUAGCUUCAACCUUGUCAACCGAAAAUGAGAAAAUGAAAUCGGGGUAAACACCAAUACCUAUUAUGAGUAUAAGGAUACAAAUAGAAAUAAAUAAUUCUCUGGGCCCAGAAUAAAAAAAAUUAGAGUUUGGUGUAUUCAAAAACUUAUAUCCAUAGAACAUCUGCCGUACGAUUGAUAAUAAAUAAAUCGAAGUUAAUAUCAUUCCAAUUGCUGUUACAAAAGUAAUUAGUAUUUUCAUCAUGAAAAGAUCAUUUUUGACUACUAAUUAUUCCAAAAAAACUAUCAAUUCUGCAACAAAACCGCUCAUGCCAGGCAAUGCAAGAGAAGCCAUUGAUAAGAUAGUAAAAAUUGUGAAUAUUUUUGGCAUUGGGAUAGCCAUUCCGCCCAUUUCGUCAAGAUAAAGAAGAUGCCACUCUAUCAUAACUAGUUCCUGCCAAGAAAAAAAGUGCAGCGCCAAUAAAUCCAUGAGAUAUGAUUUGUAAAAUGGCCCCGUUGAGACCAGUAUCACUUAUGGAACCAAUUCCUAUAAUUAGAAAGCCCAUAUGAGAUACCGAAGAAUAAGCUAUUCUUUUUUUUAGAUUACGUUGACCAAAAGAUGUUGAAGCGGCAUAGAUUAUUUGAAUAGAACCUAAUAUCAUUAACCAGGGGCAAAAUAUGGAAUGAGCAUGGGAAACCAAUUCCAUAUUAAUUCGAACCAACCCAUAUGCUCCCAGUUUUAAUAAUAUGCCGGCUAAAAGCAUACAAGUGCUGUAAUGUGCCUCUCCGUGGGUAUCUGGUAACCAUGUAUGUAAGGGCAUAAUUGGCGAUUUGACAGCAAAAGAAAUCAGAAAUGCCGUAUAGAAUAUUAUUUCUAGUGCCACGGGAUACGAUCGAUUAAUUAAUGUUUCAAAAUUAAAUGUUGGUUUAUUAGAGCCAUAUAAACCGAUACCCAGAAUUCCCAUUAAUAAAAAAACAGAAGCUCCUGCAGUGUACAAAAUAAACUUAGUAGCAGAGUAGAAACGUUUCUUUCCCCCCCAGAUGGAUAAAAGUAGAUAAACGGGGAUUAAUUUCAAUUCCCACAUGAUGAAAAAAAGUAAAAUGUCUCGAGAAGAAAAUGGUCCUAUUUGACCGCUAUACAUUGCUAACAUCAGGAAAUAGAAUAAUUGGUAUUCUCGAGUAACCGGCUGAGCCGCUAAAGAGGCUAAAGUAGUUAUAAAUCCUGUUAGUAAAAUGGGUCCUAUAGAGAGUCCAUCUAUUCCUAAUCUCCAGUCAAAAUCAAAAAAAUGGAUCCAUUUAUAAUUCUCCGUCAGUUGAAUUAGUGGAUCAUACAAUUGGAAAUGAUAAGAAAAUGCAUAGGUUGUUAGAAGGAGAUCGAUUAAGCAUAUACAAAUGCUAUACCACCUAAUUACCUUAUUUCCCCUAUGAGGAAAUAAGAAAAUUAAGGAACCUGCGGCUAGGAAAUGAUAAGAAAAUGCAUAGGUUGUUAGAAGGAGAUCGAUUAAGCAUAUACAAAUGCUAUACCACCUAAUUACCUUAUUUCCCCUAUGAGGAAAUAAGAAAAUUAAGGAACCUGCGGCUAUUGGAAAAACAACAACGAUUGUUAACCAAGGAAAAUAAUUCGUGAUAAAAAUAAGAUACACUUGGGCCAGAAAAGCCCGUGCUCAAAAUAGAAAAAAAAGAUUUUCUAUUUUAUUUGGAGCACGAGUUUUUGACAGUAAAAAACGUAUUCGUGUGGUGUUGUUUGAAACGAAUCAAUAAGCUAGACCCAUACUUCGAGUUGUUUCAUGCCAUAAAUAAACUCGAACACUUAAGAAAUCCGUCGGACAAGCGGACUCACACCUCCUACAACCAACACAGUCCUCUGUUCUUGGGGCAGAAGCUAUUUGCUUAGCUUUACAUCCACCCCAAGGUAUCAUUUCUAAUACAUCUGUGGGACAGGCUCGGACACAUUGAGUACAUCCUAUACAUGAUAGCUUUACAUCCACCCCAAGGUAUCAUUUCUAAUACAUCUGUGGGACAGGCUCGGACACAUUGAGUACAUCCUAUACAUGUAUCAUAAAUCUUUACUGAAUGUGACAUUAUAUCUAUAGUAAUUGUCGAUGUUCAAAAAUGAAAAUUAUUGAUCUAGUAAACUCGUAAAUGAAUCGUAUAUUUAUAUACCAGAUGAAUCAAUGAUUUGUGAUAAUAUUGUUAACUGUUAAUAAAAAAAGGUGUCUAGAUAAAUUUGGAAGAGGGAAUAGAAGAGGACCAGGAUACUUUGAUUUCUUAUGAUUUAGGCAAUCCAAACAUGAUAUGAUCAUAAGUUGUGUCGAAUAAAUACUCAAAUGAAUUGAUUAAUAUUUCACUAUGUGAAAUUAGACUUUAUUAUUAAUUAUGAUAGGAUUAAUGCUAUUUAUUCAACAAAUUCGAUUGAUUGAUACGGGUUGAUUUUCUGUUACGAGCAAUUGAAGAAACAAUAGGCAGUCCGAUAGCCGCUUCAGCGGCUGCAAUAGUUAUAACAAAAAUUGAAAAAAUAUUUCCUUUUAAUUGGCGAUUAUCAAAAAAAUCAGAAAAGGUUACUAGAUUUAUAUUAACUACAUUCAGUAUAAGUUCAAGACACAUAAGGGCUCUAACCAUAUUUUGGCUCGUGACCAAUCCAUAGAUACCAAUAGAAAAUAAAUAGGCACUCAAAAUAAGUACAUGUUCGAGCAUCAUUAACCAACUCCUUAUAAAUUUUGAUUCAUUAACAAAUAUAUCGGUAAUAAAAAAAAGAAUCUUGAUAAAACUCUUUCACGUCACAUAGAAUUCGACAGAAAUGAAUGUGAGAAAAUUGAAAAAAAAAAAAGAAAAUAAUAAAAGACUGUUCUUAUUCAAAACGCCCUGUGAUCUUCAACCAAUUUUGUGCCUCGAUAUAAUUACCAGGGGUAAGAGCUAUAGCUUGUUUCCAAUAUUCAGCAGCUUGAUCAAACCAAGAUUCUGUAAUUUCAUAAUCUCCCUAUCGAAUGGCCUGUUCUCCGCGGUUGGAUUAGGUGAGUAAAAUCCUUCCCUUAGAACCGUACUUGAGAGUUUCCUGUCUCAUACAGCUCAAUAGUCAAUUCUUUUGAUCUUCCAUGGAGUUAAUAAUAAGAAAAGAGGUUAAUUACAUGAGUUUCAAACUUGCCUUUGGAUUAAUAAUUCAAUUUAAUCGUUUGUUUUUAGUUUUAUUUUUUCUCCUACCUUCUGAAGAAUAAAGCAUCGACAUUAACACUAACGCCCUUAUUCUCAUUUUCUGAAAGGUAACCAUCUUGAUUUCAUAUAUCAUUUCAUAUAUAAUAUAUCUAUUUCUAUAGAAUCUUUGAGAAAUACUUUUCUUCAUAAGAAAAGACUUACUAUCUUUGGGAUAUGAUACUACACCGCUGCUCAAAACCUUAGGGGACCAACUUUAUUACAUAAGUUGAUUUCUAAUCUAUCAUCAUAUAAGUAAGCAGUUCUUGUUGUAUCAGCCGAAAACCUUGUUAAUUGAUCUUUACGGUGCUUCCUCUAUCAAAUAGAUCUUUUAUCCAUAGAAAAAAGUAUCUAGGCAUAUAUAUUCUAUUUCUUCAUAUUUUUACUUCUAUGAAGUUUCUUUCCUACAGCUCAUAAAAAUCGUUGUUUCGAACGAUAUCUAUGUAGAAAGCCUAUUUCUAUUAUUUGUCUAGUAUUUAUUACUAUUAGUGGACGUUCUUUUCUUUUUUCUUUCUAUAGUGGAGAUAGUCGCACGUAAUGACAGAUCACAACCAUAUUGUUAAAAGCUUAAGGUAAGAAAGGGUUUCGUUCGAGUGCCCGAAAAUAGUAUUCCAAAGCUUUUAUAUGUUCUCUGCUACUUGUAUGGAUAAGGCCUGUGUUAUAAAGUAUAUAACUUAGAUCAUAGGGAUCAAUUUCUAGUCGCAUAGCCUCAUAAUAAUUAUGUAAAAGCUCCCGCAUAAAUUCCUUCUGAUUGAGCUAACAUCCAUUACGAUCGUCACUCAGUUCAAAGAAUCUUCGUUCCAGAACCGUAUGUGAGAUAGUCAUCUUAUACGGCUCCUCCUUUAUGUGGAUAAUGAUAAACAUCCAUGGAAUCAAAAAAGAUUGCAAUAUUCUCAUUAUCAACUGAGCGGGACUAGUGUUUUUACACGAAAUCUCUAGCCAACCUUUCUGUAAAUGAUCUUUUAUUAACAUUUAGUUAGUUAUUACUGGAUAAAUAGUAACUUCAAAAAUUUCUUUGUCCUCAAUGCCACUUAAUUUCCCGGAAUUAGUCACUUCAACAGUCUUCGAUGGUUAUAUGGGUAUCCAAAAUACGAACGAGAUGGAUGUUUGUUGUCCGAACCAUUCUAGUUAGUCCCGAUCCCGAUAAGAAGAAAGGAAGGAUUUUUUUUACAAAGUUUUCUCCUGUUGUUGAUUCCCUAGCGUAGUGCUUCUUCCCCCAUGCCGCCUAUUGGUACUAGUGGAGUAGGAUUCACCUAACCCCAUAGGUAUAUAUAGGUAUAACCUUUCGCUUAAUACUACCUAAAAUUGAAGCAUAUUGAGGUUGCGUUAAUCGGGAAUACACGAUAGAAGGCAUUAAUCAUUUUUUUUAUUUCCAAACUUCACCUUCAGCAAGCGUAGGUUUUCUUUUCAAUUUGUUUUUAUUUGUCUCUGAAGUCGGUAAAAAAAGUAAUCAAAUUUCACCAUCUCUGUAAUAAGUGAAUGCCUCUUUUUCUCCAGGAGUUGUCGGAAUUAUUCGUAAUAAGAUAUUGGCUACAAUGGUAAAGGUCUUAUCAAUAAAAUUUCCAUUUAUCCUAGAUCUAGUCAUAGGUAUCCAUUCUAUAAUUUCCUUUUUUAUCGCGUGAUAAAAAAAUUCCCCAAAUAAAGGAAUUGUACAAUACAGUACGAAAUAAAGUAAAAAUGGACUUCUUAAUCAAAUUACUUUAUUCUACGGUAGGCCUUGAAGUAGAUUUUUUUUUUUCAAAAAAAAUACAAUUUUUUUCCAUUUUUUUUAGUUUCAAUUGAUUGUGUGCGCCUAUGCAAAUGGGAUAUAAAUGGCUUACUAUUCACUCUGUUUAGGGACAUAAUCAUUAUGUAGGAGAGAUGGCCGAGUGGUUCAAGGCGUAGCACUGGAACUGCUAUGUAGGCUUUUUGUUUACCGAGGGUUCAAAUCCCUCUCUUUCCGCACCCUUACCAAAUUCAUCAAUGUUACUGACCUCAAUGUUUGAAAUAAUAAUAGAUAACGUUAUUGCAACUUUGAUAUGCAUUCUCUAUUCCUAGUUUGUUUCUAUAAUAUAGAAAAUUGUGGAUCAAGUGGGUAAGGAAUAACAAUUUUCCUACACCCACUUCUAUACACGAAUGGGGAAAAAUACUCGGACCAAAAUUCUUGUCAUUUUGACGAGGUUUAAGUCUGACGAGAAUAAUAUUCUACAACCAGCAAUUCAUUAAUUUCCAAACCAACCCAUUUACUAUCUAUUAUUUGCUUGACUAAUCCUUUAUAUUGGAAUGGAAGAAUCAAAUGGGUUGGCAAUUGUUUGCGGGGGGCUGAUUCAAGAGAAUUUUGAAUCAGAGUUCUCGAUUUUUUGUCAUCCUUGGCUGUAAUAAUAUCUUCAGGUUUACAACGAUAACUUGGUAUAUCUACUAUACGACCAUUAACUAAAACAUGUCUGUGGUUAACUAAUUGACGGGCUUGAGGAAUAGUCGCAGCCAUACCCAAUCGAAAAAGUAUGUUAUCCAAACGCCAUUUCCAGUAACUGGAGUAAAACUUCACCCGUUGACCCUUUCGCUUUUCCAGCGAUACGAACGUAUUUAAGCAAUUGUCGUUCUGUAAGACCAUAAUGAAAACGCAAUUUUUGUUUUUCUUCUAAACGAAUAUGAUAUUGAGAUUUUUUACUGGAGCGCGAUUGUUCGCUUCCAACUGGAAGCUCUUUUCUGGUUAGUCCUGGUAAAGCCCCCAGACGCCGUAUUUUUUUGAAACGAGGCCCCCUGUAACGUGACAUAAACCCUCCUUUUUUAAAUGGAAAAUUUCAUAAAGAAAAAUUAAAACUAAACUAAAUGACAAAUAUUAUAAAUGAAGUGAAAUCUACUUAAAGUAUUGUACUAUUAAAGUAUUGUAUUAGAAAUAGUGUAGUAUAAAGAACAAUUGGAAAGAUUCUAUCAGUAUCCGAAUUGAAUUCUAUUAUAUUUCUAUAUAAAUAAAAAAAGGCGGUUAUUUUAUUGCUUUGUUCUACAGAAAAGGAACUCCCUAUUAUUUUCCUAAAAAAAAAAGAGAUUAUCCCUGAUUAUCCCUUAUGUGAAAAAAAAAAAAAAUAGAGAAAAAAGCCGGCUAUCGGAAUCGAACCGAUGACCAUCGCAUUACAAAUGCGAUGCACGAGAUGGAUGUUUGUUGUCCCAACCAUUCUAGUUAGUCCCGAUCCCGAUAAGAAGAAAGGAAGGAUUUUUUUACAAAGUUUUCUCCUGUUGUUGAUUCCCUAGCGUAGUGCUUCUUCCCCCAUGCCGCCUAUUGGUACUAGUGGAGUAGGAUUCACCUAACCCCAUAGGUAUAUAUAGGUAUAACCUUUCGCUUAAUACUACCUAAAAUUGAAGCAUAUUGAGGCUGCAUUAAUCGGGAAUACACGACAGAAGGGGUUAAUCGUUUUUUUUAUUUCCAAACUUCACCUUCAGCAAGCGUAGGUUUUUUUUUUCCAUUUUUUUUUUAUUUGUCUCUGAAGUCGGUAAAAAAAAAUAAUCAAAUCGCACCAUCUCUGUAAUAAGUGUAUGCCUCUUUUUCUCCAGAAGUUGUCGGAAUUAUUCGUAAUAAGAUAUUGGCUACAAUGGUAAAGGUCUUAUCAAUAAAAUUUCCAUUUAUCCUAGAUCUAGUCAUAGGUAUCCAUUCUAUAAUUUCAACCUUUCGCUUAAUACUACCUAAAAUUGAAGCAUAUUGAGGCUGCAUUAAUCGGGAAUACACGACAGAAGGGAUUAAUCGUUUUUUUUAUUUCCAAACUUCACCUUCAGCAAGCGUAGGUUUUUUUUUCCAUUUUUUUUUUAUUUGUCUCUGAAGUCGGUAAAAAAAAAAUAAUCAAAUCGCACCAUCUCUGUAAUAAGUGAAUGCCUCUUUUUCUCCAGAAGUUGUCGGAAUUAUUCGUAAUAAGAUAUUGGCUACAAUGGUAAAGGUCUUAUCAAUAAAAUUUCCAUAUAUCCUAGAUCUAGUCAUAGGUAUCCAUUCUAUAAUUUCAUUUUUUAUCGCGUGAUAAAAAAAUUCCCCAAACAAAGGAAUUGUACAAUACAGUACGAAAUAACGUAAAAAUGGACUUCUUAAUCAAAUUUCUUUAUUCUACGGUAGGCCUUGAAGUAGAUUUUUUUUUUUUUUUUUCAAAAAAAAAAACAAAUUUUUUCCAUUUUUUUUAGUUUCAAUUGAUUGUGUGCGCCUACGCAAAUGGGAUAUAAAUGGCUCAAUAAAUGGCUCACUAUUCACUCGGUUUAGGGACAUAAUCAUUAUGUAGGAGAGAUGGCCGAGUGGUUCAAGGCGUAGCAUUGGAACUGCUAUGUAGGCUUUUUGUUUACCGAGGGUUCGAAUCCCUCUCUUCCCGCACCCUUACCAAAUUCAUCAAUGUUACUGACCUCAAUGUUUGAAAUAAUAAUAGAUAACAUUAUUGCAACUUUGAUAUGCAUUCUCUAUUCCUAAUUUGUUUCUGUAAUUAAUAUAGAAAAUUGUUGAUCAAGUGGGUAAGGAAUAACACUUUUCCUACACCCACUUCUAUACACGAAUGGGGAAAAAUACUCGGAUCAAAAUUCUUGUUAUUUUAACGAGGUUUAAGUCUGACGAGAAUAAUAUUCUACAACCUGCAAUUCAUUAAUUUCCAAACCAACCCAUUUACUAUCUAUUAUUUGCUUGACUAAUCCUUUAUAUUGGAAUGGAAGAAUCAAAUGGGUUGGCAAUUGUUUGCGGGGGGCUGAUUCAAGAGAAUUUUGAAUCGGAGUUCUCGAUUUUUUGUCAUCCUUGGCUGUAAUAAUAUCUUCAGGUUUACAACGAUAACUUGGUAUAUCUACUAUACGACCAUUAACUAAAACAUGUCUGUGGUUAACUAAUUGACGGGCUUGAGGAACCCACUUCUAUACACGAAUGGGGAAAAAUACUCGGAUCAAAAUUCUUGUUAUUUUAACGAGGUUUAAGUCUGACGAGAAUAAUAUUCUACAACCAGCAAUUCAUUAAUUUCCAAACCAACCCAUUUGCUAUCUAUUAUUUGCUUGACUAAUCCUUUAUAUUGGAAUGGAAGAAUCAAAUGGGUUGGCAAUUGUUUGCGGGGGGCUGAUUCAAGAGAAUUUUGAAUCAGAGUUCUCGAUUUUUUGUCAUCCUUGGCCGUAAUAAUAUCUUCAGGUUUACAACGAUAACUUGGUAUAUCUACUAUACGACCAUUAACUAAAACAUGUCUGUGGUUAACUAAUUGACGGGCUUGAGGAAUAGUCGCAGCCAUACCCAAUCGAAAAAGAAUGUUAUCCAAACGCAUUUCCAGUAACUGGAGUAAAACUUCACCCGUUGACCCUUUCGCUUUUCCAGCGAUACGAACGUAUUUAAGCAAUUGUCGUUCUGUAAGACCAUAAUGAAAACGCAAUUUUUGUUCUUCUUCUAAACGAAUACGAUAUUGAGAUUUUUUACUGGAGCGCGAUUGUUCGCUUCCAACUGGAAGCUCUUUUCUGGUUAGUCCUGGUAAAGCCCCCAGACGCCGUAUUUUUUUGAAACGAGGCCCCAAGACCAUAAUGAAAACGCAAUUUUUGUUUUUCUUCUAAACGAAUACGAUAUUGAGAUUUUUUACUGGAGCGCGAUUGUUCGCUUCCAACUGGAAGCUCUUUUCUGGUUAGUCCUGGUAAAGCCCCCAAACGCGGUAUUUUUUUAAAACGAGGCCCCUUGUAACGUGACAUAAACACUCCUUUUUAAAAUGGAAAUUUUCAUAAAGAAAAAUUAAAACUAAACUAAAUGACAAAUAUUAUAAAUGAAGUAAAAUCUACUUAAAGUAUUGUAUUAGAAAUAGUGUAGUACAAAGAACAAUUGGAAAGAUUCUAUUAGUAUCCGAAUUGAAUUCUAUUAUAUUUCUAUAUAAAUAAAAAAGGCGGUUAUUUUAUUGCUUUGUUCUACAGAAAAGGAACUUCCUAUUAUUUUCCUAAAAUAAUAAGAGAUUAUCCCUUAUCUGGAAAAAAAAUAGAGAAAAAAGCCGGCUAUCGGAAUCAAACCGAUGACCAUCGCAUUACAAUGCUCUAACCUCUGGGCUAAGCGGGCUCUCAUAAUACAAAUUGUUCAUUUCUCAGAAUUUUUUCCUAAACUACUGGGAUCCUUCCUAGUUAUUAACUAUUUCAUAUUAGCUCUUCAUAACACAAUUACUAUAUCAUAACAUAAUCCAAUAAAUACAAACAUACAAAAAAAUUUAGAAUAUCCUAUAUUUAUUUGAUAUUCUAGUAUAUAACAUAUGAUAUAAAACGGAAUCAUUUUAAAAUACGAAUAAAAACUAUUUUAAUUACCAGUUACCUCAAAUACUCUUUAUUGUCCAUUUAUCCAAUUUUUUUUGAUCCAUAAAAAAAUAAUUUGAUAAACAAGAAUUUUCAUUCAUAUAGUAAGAUUCUCUUUUUUUUUAGUUUUUAAUCCCAUUUUUUAAUAUUUUAGAUUCUUUAAAUUUCGAUUAUUUAUUAUAUUUUAUCUAUUUCUAUUAUUAAAAAUUCAUAUUUAUUAUAUGUAUUUAUCCCGAUCCUUAUUAUUUAAAUUUAUUUUAUAUAAUUUUAUCUAUUAUAUCUACUUUUAAAUAUUAAAAGUAAAAUUAUAUAGGAAUAUUAUUUCUAUGUAUAUAUUCUUUAGAUAUUCUUUAAUAUUCUAGAAUACCUUAUAUUUCUUUCUAAUAUAAUAUAUAUAUAUAUAUAUAUAUAUAUAUAUAGAAAAUAGUAAAGAGUAUAUAUACUCUUUAUAUAUAUAUAGAAAAUAGUAAAGAGUAUAUAGAAUAUCAUCUUCAAUAGAAAUAAAAAUAGAAAUGUCUAUAUUAAGAUAUAUUCAAUAUUAUAUUAUCAUUUUAUUUAAUUUAAAAUUAAAUAAUGACUAAUUUGAUUACAGUUAUUUAUAUUCCAAAAUGAUUAUGCAUUAAGAUGAAAUAUGUAGAAUGUCUUUUAUUUUAUACAUAAAUAUAUCCAUAUCGAAUUAUACAUAUCCAUUCGAAUUCUAAAAUAUUGGAUGGAUUAUCAAAAGAAAUUGGAUUGGAUAAGUAAUUAAAAAUUAGAUCUUUCUAUUGAAUUUCUAAAUAAAUGUCGAAUUAGAAAUUAAUAAAUAGAUUUUAAUAAUUUUUCGUUUUGUUAUUAUAAGGUUUGUAUCUGUCUGCUCGAAGGAAAAAAAGAAUCGAACUUUAGAGUAUUCUAAAUUCUAUCAAAAAAGAAUAGAAGGGGGGACAUCUAAGAUAGAGAUAUAUGUAGUAUAUAUCUCUGUAUAUUGAAUUGUGAAUACAUAGAUAAUAGAAUCAUUUCUGAUUCGACUAAAUUAUGGGUAGCUGAUAUAGAUGAAAGAAAAUCAAUCAAGAAAAAACAAAUAGAAGGAAAUUUUUCCCCACCCAAUAUGAGUGUAGGUUUCGAAUAAAUUC
RNAcentral lists this long non-coding RNA (15403 nucleotides) under Lathyrus oleraceus (garden pea). Its description in RNAcentral is "Pisum sativum (pea) long non-coding RNA (PSAT_LNC020067)". The stretch from base 9912 to 9999 matches the Rfam family "tRNA". The record is from RNAcentral. Lineage: Eukaryota; Viridiplantae; Streptophyta; Magnoliopsida; Fabales; Fabaceae.